UACGUAGGGGGCAAGCGUUAUCCGGAAUUAUUGGGCGUAAAGAGUGCGUAGGUGGUUCUUUAAGCGAGAGGUUUAAGGCUACAGCUUAACUGUAGUUCGCCUCCCGAACUGAAGGACUUGAGUGCAGGAGGGGAAAGCGGAAUUCCUAGUGUAGCGGUGAAAUGCGUAGAUAUUAGGAGGAACACCAGUGGCGAAGGCGGCUUUCUGGACUGAAACUGACACUGAGGCACGAAAGCGUGGGGAGCAAACA
RNAcentral lists this ribosomal RNA (250 nucleotides) under uncultured prokaryote. Its description in RNAcentral is "partial 16S ribosomal RNA". It matches the Rfam family "Bacterial small subunit ribosomal RNA", at positions 524 to 774 of the family's 1533-position model. The record is from RNAcentral.